AUGGGCCCUCCUGUGGUAGACCCACAUGUCAUCGGUGCAACUAUUUGCACUCCGAAGGACGCAUACACAAAUGCGCUGGCCUUCAUGAUUCCAGGACCUGGAAUCUUACCAGCCGAUGGUUUGAAGCACUCCUCUGGUUUGAAGGAUGGAUACCUUCCUAGGAUCAAGUGCAUCCUAACUCACCUGCAAUUACCGGCUGGCGUCAAGUUCGAUCCCACGGAUCAGGAGCUGAUCGAGCACCUCGAGGCCAAAGUGAGUGCUGACAGCGCGAGAUCUCACCCUGUCAUCAAUUUGUUCAUACCAACCAUCGACAGCGAGCACGGCAUAUGCUACACCCAACUUGAGAAACAUCCAGGUAUCACACAGAGUGGCCUAAGGAAGCAUAUCUUCCAGCGCAAUUCCAGGGCAUUCAAAAGGGGCACGUGGAUGCAUCGCAAGAUACAGUCGGAAUGUCGCAUGCACGCGAUCUGGCACAAGACCAGCAAUACCUUGCCGGUGAUGGUCAACGGCCGGCGGACGGGCAACACAAAGGUUUUGGUGUUGUACACCAACAAGAACUUCGACCAACAGAGGACCAACUGGGUGAUGCACCAGUACCACCUCAAGGACCUGGAGCAAGAGAAGGAGCGGGAGCUGGUCCUCUGCAAAAUUUUGUACUAG
RNAcentral lists this ribosomal RNA (660 nucleotides) under Triticum aestivum (bread wheat). RNAcentral describes it as "partial small subunit ribosomal RNA". Lineage: Eukaryota; Viridiplantae; Streptophyta; Magnoliopsida; Poales; Poaceae. The record is from RNAcentral.